This 304-nucleotide ribosomal RNA is filed under the name uncultured bacterium. RNAcentral's name for it is "partial 16S ribosomal RNA". It matches the Rfam family "Bacterial small subunit ribosomal RNA", at positions 506 to 807 of the family's 1533-position model. The record is from RNAcentral.
CAGCAGCCGCCGCGGUAAUACAGAGGGUGCGAGCGUUAAUCGGAUUUACUGGGCGUAAAGCGUGCGUAGGCGGCUUCUUAAGUCGGAUGUGAAAUCCCUGAGCUUAACUUAGGAAUUGCAUUCGAUACUGGGAAGCUAGAGUAUGGCAGAGGGGGAUGGAAUUCCGCGUGUAGCAGUGAAAUGCGUAGAUAUGCGGAGGAACACCGAUGGCGAAGGCAAUCCCCUGGGCCUGUACUGACGCUCAUGCACGAAAGCGUGGGGAGCAAACAGGAUUAGAUACCCCAGUAGUCCCUGUCUCUUAUAC